AGUCCUUUCUUACGUAUUUGCUCAAGUGAGAUGAAAACAUAUAUUCACACAAAACCUAGCGGUACCUGAGCGUUUGUGGAGGCUUUAUCCAUAACUGCCAACGACUGGAAACACCUCAAGCGUCUUUCGCCUGGUGGGUACAGGGAGACGUCUCCAGAAUCAGAUGCCACCUGCAAGAAGAGGAACACACUCCCUAAGCGCCCCGUUGAUGAAUUUCAAAUGCAUAAUUUUAGGAAAAAGAAACCAGAUUUAAAAAGCUACCAAGUCCAUGAUUCCGUUUACAGGACAUUCUCUAAAAGGUGACACCAGAGGGACAGACUGAUCAGGGCCUGCGGGAGCUGCAGAGGGUUGGGGGGUUGGUCUGGCCGCCGGGGCACCCCACAGGGAUUCCUCAGGGCCUCCAGGGGCAGCAGGGCCCUGAGACACCCUGGUCAGCCCGGGCUGCUUCUGCCCCCGAGGGCUUUAAGAGGGUAAUUUGUGUUGUUUUAAGUCACCACGUUGGUGGUGAUUUGUUUCUGUGGCAGCUGAAGAGGAAAGCCCCGUCCACAGGGCUCGUACUGCAGCCGCACCAAGGGCCUGGGGCCGCCUCAGGAAUGAGGGGAGCUCUCCCAGAAGCCUGGAGCACCCGACUCCUGACACCUCGUGGCCACCAUCGUGUCAUGGUCAUUCCUAAACCAGUUCCUGCCUUUCUCUGACACAGCAUCCUAGACUGGAGAGCUGCAGAUGCCCUUAGAGACAUUAUUGUCCCCAUCUGAUGGACUCUGAGAGCCAGGAGAAGAGGGGGUACGUCGUCCAAGGUCAACACACCAGGGUUCACACUGAGAUCUGUAACGACGCCAAAGUCUUUUCUCUCAAACCUCACGAAGUCCAAAACCGUCCAUUCUACAGAAGGGGAGAGGACACUCGGCUGGAGGAGUGCAGAGGAGGGCACACCGUGCUCGGUUCAUGUGACCCAGGGGUGCCCGAGCAGGUCCGCUCCCCUGGCUCAAGCGGCGCCUGCGAGCUCUCCUGGCCAGUCCAAGGGAUCAGCAUUUACAAAUCAUCAUGUGCCUCAGUUUAAUAAGAGAAAAGGUGUUUUUUGUUUGUUUGAUUUUUGCAAAAUGAGAGCACUUGAUUGUCACAUUUAUCCAACAUCAUUGGGGGAGUAAAAAAUAAAAAAUCACAGUUAGAACAUGAAGAGUGUCUUACAGUUUAUAAAACACUUUCAAAUACUUUGUCCACGUGAUCCUC
Molecule: long non-coding RNA, 1230 nt
Organism: Canis lupus familiaris (dog)
Lineage: Eukaryota; Metazoa; Chordata; Mammalia; Carnivora; Canidae
Exons: 3
Source: RefSeq, a predicted model, not a curated record